Molecule: ribosomal RNA, 402 nt
Filed under: uncultured Anaerococcus sp.
Lineage: Bacteria; Bacillati; Bacillota; Tissierellia; Tissierellales; Peptoniphilaceae
Description: bacterial SSU rRNA
Rfam family: Bacterial small subunit ribosomal RNA
Source: RNAcentral
UGGGGAAUUUUGCACAAUGGGGGAAACCCUGAUGCAGCGACGCCGCGUGAUUUAGAAGGCCUUCGGGUUGUAAAAAUCUUUUGUAUAGGAAGAAAAUGACAGUACUAUACGAAUAAGGUCCGGCUAAUUACGUGCCAGCAGCCGCGGUAAUACGUAAGGACCGAGCGUUGUCCGGAAUCAUUGGGCGUAAAGGGUACGUAGGCGGGUUUUUAAGUUAGAAGUCAAAGGCUAUAGCUCAACUAUAGUAAGCUUCUAAAACUGGAAACCUUGAGAGAUGGAAGGGAAAGUGGAAUUCCUAGUGUAGCGGUGGAAUGCGCAGAUAUUAGGAGGAAUACCGGUGGCGAAGGCGACUUUCUGGCCAUUUUCUGACGCUGAGGUACGAAAGCGUGGGUAGCAAACAGG